Molecule: long non-coding RNA, 3897 nt
Organism: Gallus gallus (chicken)
Lineage: Eukaryota; Metazoa; Chordata; Aves; Galliformes; Phasianidae
Source: Ensembl
CUCAGAGCCGCGGGGCGCGACUCAGCGCUGCACGUCUCGUCUGCUGCCUUCAAACAGAGCUCUCUGCUGUCGCUCUGGCCGUUACCGACCCGUGGCUCUCUAGAGGAAUAGGGACUGACUGUUCUUCGGUGAGAAACCUGCCAGAAAGACGAACUUAAACUGAGACGAUGUGUGUUUUUAAAAGCAGUCAUCCCUCCCUCCGACAGUUCUCAGUGUGCAAAUGACUGCAUUGGAUGGAAAAAAUCGUGCAGGGACUCCCGGAAGGAGCAGCUCAGUGGCACAAAGCACUGCAGCGAUGCGCUGUGCCGGGCAUAAGUCUGGCAGCCACAAGGCAGCACAGAGAAUUAAAAAUGGACUUCUGCAGGAGGAUGAGAGGCUGCGAGCCUGCUGAUUAUACCUCUGUCUGCAAGCUCACCUGCAGCCUGGAGGCAGACGACGCUGUAUGCCUGAGGACAGGCACCUCCUGCUGUACUGCCCCUGCUCUGCUCACACACCACAGCUCAGGCUCCAAUAGGUGCGUCCUCUUUGGGGAAACAGAAAUGUACUUCAAAACUUUAAAUCCGUGGCUGCUUGUGCUACUGGGAUCGCUGCUGGGAGGGAGGUUCCCCCACUGCACGAGUCCAUUCCUCCACCUGAACGGCACAGCAGCCCUUUUCUGCUCACUGUAAUUUUGAUUUUAAAAGCAUAAAAGCAUGUGCAUUAUCUUCCAUUCCCAUGCCACACAGAGCUGCAGAGUGUGAAUGAAAUCCCAUGUCAGAUGAAAAUGGGAAACGUAGCCACAUGCUUACAUAUGAUUCUGUGUUAGGAGGUUGGGACUUUGGCAGGACGUGUUCAGCUCUGCUGACAGGUUUGUGUGUGCUCAGUGGGACUCCCACUGGGUUCUCAGGAGCUCUGCAGCCCCGUGUGCAGCACUGCUGGUGCCCGGCUGCCAUCCUGGACGAGCACUGUUUUCCAGAUUUGACUCUUCUUUAUUGUGUGCAAACUGAAGUCCAUUUGCACCCUCUCCAGUGGCCCUGCAGCUGCCAACGUUACCUCAGACACCUCCAGAACAUCUUCUGUGGAAGCUGGUGUUAAGUGAUGUUGGACACACCUCUGCAGGAGCAGCAUUUUCCUCCUGCGUUGUGUGGCACAUUGUGGCACGCAUGCAGAUGCGGGUGGAUGGGAUCCCUGUAACACCACAGGUAAUGCAAAAGUUGUAAAUGGUCCGUGAUAGGAGCGUGCUGCACCACGCUGCUCGGGAAGGUCUGCCAGGAAGGUCUGCUUAAACAGAGCUGUAAUUUGUUGAAAUAACACUGCCCAUCAGAGACCAAUAUAGCAGGUUAACUAUAGCAGGAAGGCUGGGAUUCUGGCUGGCGAUGGAGCAUGAACAGCCUGCCCACAGGUGGAAGCAGCCAGCAUGUUCCUCAGUGCUUCUGCCAAACUAAAUGAGCAGCAGUGGUGAGAAACACAAUCUCCUCGGGGGAGGAAGCAGGAGAUGUGCUCCCAUUGCUCAGCAGAUUUGAAAGAGCAGCAGAGAUCAGUGCUGGCUCUCCUGUCACACUGUACGUCAUUGCUUGCCCGUGGUUCAAGGACCUGGAGCUUUUUUGAGAGCUCUGCGUAUGAUGAAAGUCUUCCCCACACAAACAGCUCAAUCUCACAUAGAACUAUCCAGCAUUAUCGCGUUGGGCUUGGGACUCACAGGACCUGAGCUCACGUGUUUUGCCAACAACCCCCUCUGUAGUUUUAGGUUCCUCGCUUAUGUUGUUACCUGUUGCCCACCCAUGGAAUUGCAGAAGGUGUUUCCCAGCCCUGCGCCCUGCCUCCAGCAGCAGGGAGGGUUGCUGCAUGCGGUGGCUGUGAGCUGGGGGGUCGGGAUGCAUUCACAGUGCACUUCUGUAGCACAGUGCCAAAGCCCAACAUCUGCUUCCCAGUGACUUUUUCCACUCACAACCUUGUUAUUUCUCAUCUGUGAUUACAAAACUCGGGUGUUUACCAGCACCACGUGCUCAAAAAGACAUGGAUCUGCAUUUUUCAGAUUCCUUCUGUGAAAUACAACCCUGUUUCCAGACAGGAUGUAGUGUUGGCAGAAGUGCAGAUUUCUCACAUGAGGAACAGAGCCUGAAGGUUUCAGGGCUGCUGUGCUGCACUGUGGAUGCAAAGCACCACACACUGGCAGAGCUUUGCAUGCUGCUGGGGAAUGGAGACCCACAGAGCCCAUGGAUAACCUGAUCCCGAGUCAGGAGCACACAGGGGGGACGGAGAGGCUGUAAAAGUAACUCCUGUGCAGCCCGAUCCCAUGCAGUGAAUUCUCACAGCCCACACGGAGCUGUUUCCCAGUGACUUCUGUGCAGCCACGGGCAGCCAACAAGUUGCUGCACAGCACUGCGUGCUGCUAUACACCGCUGCGUGCUGCUGCAUGCCACAACAUGAUGCUGCACACUGCUGCAUGCCUCUGCUACACCGCUGCACGCCGCUGCACACUGCCACAUGGCUUCAGAACCAGGAACCAGCUGAAGAGCUCACAGCAGGACUGAAAAGCCAUGCUGGGCCACAGUGUGCAGGACUGAGCCCCCACAGACCGCGUUUCAUUGACUCACAUGGUAACAUUUUUCUCUUUAGCAUUUCCAGUAACAUUGCAACACAUUUCACAGAAUGCUCUAUUUAAGGUCAUACCCUUGGCCGUUUGCUACUAAAACCUCACAAUUGUAAUUUUCCAGUACUAAGAACAAAGCGACUGGGAAUGGCUGUGAUGCAGGCAGGGAAAGGGUUGGGAGGCCGCAGGUGCUUACAUGGAGAGGUGCCAUUCCAAGCACAGGGAAGCAGUCGGCGGCAGAGCACACCAGGCAGAACGUGCUGGUACCUGAGCAGGACACUGCCAGUGCAUAAAGAAAACUCCGGAGAAUGUUUCCACGUUGGGAUGUAACUCUGAAUGGAAAAGGUCUUCCAGAAGUUGGCUCCAGACCCUCAUCCUCGGUCGGUGGAGUCACCGAGCCUGGUGGUGUUCAAAGAGCGUUUGGACGUUGUGUUGAGGGACGUGGUUUAGUGAGAACCAUUGGUGAAGGGCGAAUGGUUGGACUGCGUGAUCCUGUGGGUCUUUUCCAACCUUAGCAAUUCUAUGAUUCUAUGAUUCUAUGAGCCUUCUUCAGGUGCUGUAAUACAGUUUUAGGAGGUUCCUGGGCAAAGUGCUAACAAUGGAAUACCGGCACUGUGCAAUUCCAGUGGAGCCGUUCAGCCCAUCCCCGCUCAUCCGCAGCCCCCACUGCUGCACAGAUCCGUUCCUGGGAGGCACUGCUGGCACUCGCAGUGCGUGGCUCUGCUGGCCCCGCUCGGCUCCUCUCACUGCAGCCCCAAAACUGCUCUAUCCACCGCGGGCUUUAACUUCCAUCAGCAUAUCAACCUGAUUUCUGCUAAUAGGAAAAUGAAAUGUGUCUUUCUGUCUCCAUUUUGCAAAAGAUAAAGAACUAAGAGUGUGCGUGACAUGACAGAACCUCAAUCUGACCUUCUCCUUGGGCAUUAUUAAUAGUAAAUGCAUAUCGGGUGGUUUCACAACGACCUUGAGAGCGAGUGACACAUCUCACCUGCUGGGGCGCAGUUCCCCAGGCAUUUUGGAAAAGGAAAUCCUUAUUUCUAUUAACUUAUGGGGAAAAUGGAAGCACUGCGGUGUCCAUGCAGAGGUUUUUCCAGUGUCCCAAAACGCCCAACGCAGAAAUGCCCGCGGGUUUUGGGGGCUUACCUGUAAGCACUGUAUUUACUGUGGGCUAAUGAAGAAGAAAUAAAAUUCAACUUCAACCUCCUUCCAAUUUGCAAGUUAUGAAAAAUGCUUCUAGAAGGGAGCUAAUAAAUGUGAUGGAUGUGCUCGGUGGUAAUUGAUCAUUUAUUUUGAACAAAUCCUGGCAAACAUUUAAUUCUACUAUUCAU